This 899-nucleotide small RNA is filed under the name Rattus norvegicus (Norway rat). RNAcentral describes it as "uncharacterized LOC100911534". Lineage: Eukaryota; Metazoa; Chordata; Mammalia; Rodentia; Muridae. The record is from RNAcentral.
GUACUUCCGCCGGCGCCCAUCGUGAGAAGUUUCCUGUGGCGUGGAUGUUUCCUCUCCGGUCAGUGCCAUCCACCCAAAUCUAUUGACAUCCCGCGUGUUCCGGGCUGUCUGCUCGACCCCCCAGUGCAGGGCGCCAAGGCUGGAGACUGCGCGGCCCUUCUGCAGACCGAUGGAAGCUCCUUGGGUCGACAGAUUACAGCUUCUGCAGCAGCUGGAGCCCAGCUACUCCCUUCAGCCACGUGGUGGGUGCCCACUGUCCCCAGGGAGAGGAUGUCUGGAAAUAAUAGCUUGGAUCUACAGUGGCCAUAAAGUUGGCUCCAACCCACUAGACUGACAAGACUACGGUGCUCCUGAGUGAGGAUUGUGCCCUGGGAUCUGGGGUGCAGUUUCUUCAGUUACAUAUGUGAAGUGCCAGGAGAGACGGCACACUCCAGAGUGCCGUGUCCUGACGCGCCUUUGAGCAGCCAGCACAGCAGAUCAUCAGACCCGUCUCCAGAGAGCUCUGGUUCCUCCUCCAGAACAGACUGGCUGCUCAGGAGGCCAUAGCAGGACUGUCAGUUGAUCUCUGCCACGUGUGCUCAACAGUCGUGUGCUCAACAGUCGUUGACUUUCCAGAAGAGGCUGGAACAGGGCCCUUGAAGAUGAUUGUGGACACCAGAGGGCCAGGAGUGGACAACAAAACCACAAAGUGACACUAGACCCUGCCUCUUCAGCAUCAUGAAACAGCUUUUUACUGUGCUUAGUCAUUGCCUCAAGCAUGGGAGACUCCAGCAUACACCACCUCUUCUGUCCCUGUGACCAUCUGCUAGUGUCUGGAAUGACUAAUGGCUAGAACUUGUUGCCAACUUCCUGUUACUUUCCCAACGGCUGUGCAAUGAACCUCAUAGGUUAAUUCAGUC